RNAcentral lists this long non-coding RNA (289 nucleotides) under Physcomitrium patens. RNAcentral describes it as "long non-coding RNA (PPAT_LNC004546)". The record is from RNAcentral. Lineage: Eukaryota; Viridiplantae; Streptophyta; Bryopsida; Funariales; Funariaceae.
UUUUUAUUUUUUUAUUGCAACAUCUCCAAUCUAGAUUUUAGCAUGUAAACAAGAUCCAUAUAAUUUAUCUUGUAUAUUAUUAGUUAUUUAUAUUAUCCAUCUAGACUCCAUAUCAAUUAGCCACCUCCGCUUCUUGUAAAGAUCUUUAGAUAUAAGAUUUAUUUCAAAACCAUGGUCAAUUAAAGCAACAACUAGUUCUUCUAUAUCUCUUAUUUUUACCAAUAUUUUUGUAGUUGUCCUUGUUCAAUGUUUUCAAGUAUAAUGGCUUGAAGCUUCUAAUUCCUUAUCA